ACCAGGUGUGGUGACACACACCUGUAAUUCUAGACAUUGGGGAGGUUGAGGCAGGGUGAUCUCAAGUUUGAGGCUAGCCUGGUAACUUAGAGAGACCCUGUCUCAU
Molecule: small RNA, 106 nt
Filed under: Marmota monax (woodchuck)
Lineage: Eukaryota; Metazoa; Chordata; Mammalia; Rodentia; Sciuridae
Source: RNAcentral